CCUACGGGAGGCAGCAGUGGGGAAUAUUGGACAAUGGGGGGAACCCUGAUCCAGCGACGCCGCGUGCGUGAAGAAGUAUCUCGGUAUGUAAAGCUUUAUCAGCAGGGAAGAAAAUGACGGUACUUGUCUUAGAAGCCCUGGCUAACCACGUGCCAGCAGGCGUGGUAAUAUGUAGAGGGCAAGCGUUAUCCGGAUUUACUGGGUGUAAAGGGAGCGUAGUCGGUGUAGCAAGUCUGAUGUGAAAGGUCGGGGCCCAACCCCGGGACUGCAUUGGAUACUGGUGAACUGGAGUACAGUAGAGGUAAGCGGAAUUCGUGGUGUAGCGGUGAAAUGAGUAGAUAUUAGGAAGAACACCAGUGGCGAAGGCGGCUUACUGGACGGUAACUGACGUUGAGGCUCGAAAGCGUGGGAAGCAAACAGGAUUAGAUACCCGUGUAGUC
RNAcentral lists this ribosomal RNA (440 nucleotides) under uncultured bacterium. RNAcentral's name for it is "partial 16S ribosomal RNA". It matches the Rfam family "Bacterial small subunit ribosomal RNA", at positions 338 to 795 of the family's 1533-position model. The record is from RNAcentral.